CCUACGGGUGGCAGCAGUGGGGGAUAUUGCACAAUGGGGGAAACCCUGAUGCAGCGACGCCGCGUGUGGGAAGACGGUCCUCUGGAUUGUAAACCACUGUCCCCAGGGACGAAGAUGACGGUACCUGGGGAGGAAGCUCCGGCUAACUACGUGCCAGCAGCCGCGGGAAUACGUAGGGAGCGAGGGUUGUCCGGAAUUACUGGGUGAAAAGGGAGCGUAGGCGGGACUGCAAGUUGGGUGUCAAAUCUACCGGCUCAACCGGUCGCCGCACUCAAAACUGCAGUUCUUGAGUGAAGUAGAGGCAGGCGGAAUUCCUAGUGUAGCGGUGAAAUGCGUAGAUAUUAGGAGGAACACCAGUGGCGAAGGCGGCCUGCUGGGCUUUUACUGACGCUGAGGCUCGAAAGUGUGGGGAGCAAACAGGAUUAGAUACCCGGGUAGUC
This 440-nucleotide ribosomal RNA is filed under the name uncultured bacterium. Its description in RNAcentral is "partial 16S ribosomal RNA". It matches the Rfam family "Bacterial small subunit ribosomal RNA", at positions 338 to 795 of the family's 1533-position model. The record is from RNAcentral.